UUCACAUGUGUCUUCGGGGUUAUAAAACUAGUUGAUUGCACCACUGAAACUUCACAUGUGUCUUCGGGGUUAUAAAACUAGUUGAUUGCACCAAGUUCCAUAACUCUGACCUUCAUUUUGGCCAAAUUAUGCCCCUUUUUGACUUAGAAAAUCCUGGUUAAAGUUUUGCGUUCAUGUACAUACAGCUAUUACUAAAAGGCAUAUAGAUUUGAAACUUAUUUUUACUUUUUCUAGAUCAAUUACCAACCUCACUGGGUCAAGUCCCAUAACUCUGACAUGUAUUUUGGUGAAAUCAUGCCCCCUUUUGGACUUAGAAAAUCCUGGUUAAAGUUUUACAUGCAAGUUACUAUCUCCAAAACUAAUGCAGAUAUUGAAUUAAAACUUCACAUGUGUCUUCGGAGUUAUAAAACUAGUUGAUAGCACCAAGUUCCAUAACUCUGACCUUCAUUUUGGCCAAAUUAUACCCCCUUUUGGACUAAGAAAAUCCUGGUUAAAGUUUUGCGUGCGAGUACAUACAGCUAUUACUAAAAGGCAUAUAGAUUUUAAACUUAUUUUUUCUUUUUCUAGAUCAAUUACCAACCUCACUGGGUCAAGUCCCAUAACUCUGACAUGUAUUUUGGGCAAAUUUUGCCCCCUUAUGGACUUAGAAAAUCCUGGUAAAAGUUUUGCGUGCAAGUACAUACAGCUAUAACUUAAAGGCAUAUAGAUUUAAAUCUUAUUUUUUCUUUUUCUAGAUCAAUUACCAACCUCACUUGAUCAAAUCCCAUAACUCUGACAUGUGUUUUGGGCAAAUUAUGCCCCCUUUUGGACUUAGAAAAUUCGGGUUAAAGUUUGCAUGCAAGUUACUAUCUGCAGAACAAAUGCAGAUAUUAAGUUGAAACUUCACAUGUGCCUUCGGGGUUAUAAAACUAGUUGAUUGCAUGAAGUCCCAUAACUCUGACAUGCAUUUUGGUCAAAUUAUGUCCCAUUUUUAACUUAAAACUUCUGGUUAUAGUUUAUCAGUGCAGGUACUGGAUUGAAACUCUUUAGAUAUUUUAAUAUUUUGGGUAAUAUUUUCCUGCUUCUGGGACAAUAUUUCGAAUAGUCGAGCAUUGGCUGUCUAAGGGACAGCUCUUGUUUAUAAAACUAUGCUUUUGAUUUUCAAAAAGAAUUCUCACUAUAAACAAACAACUGAAAAACUGUGAAAUCAUGUUAACUUCAUAACCAUAAACUUUGAUCGUUUUGGCAUAAAUGACUAUUUAACAGAGUGACUCUGUUGUGUAGAUUUGAAUUCAUAGUGUUCAAAUUUAAAAAAAUGAAAUGAAUGAAAAAUUUGCUUAUUUGCCUAGGUUUAAUUUUUGAGAUGCAUGUAACCACUUAAUCCACGAAAAAAUACCCUCAAGAAUAUUUAUGAUUUUGCAGUAGGUUGACUUCAGGUAAUUUAUUACCUGCAGCGUAAGUGAACAAUAUAGUUUUCUUUUUUCUGUUCAUUUUGAAUACAAGAUUUGCUCACAGAAAUUAGCUUUUGCUCAAAUUUAAGUUCAGGUUUAGCUCUUUAACCUUUACCCUGCUAUAUUUCUAAAAUGGACUGGUCCAUCUUUCAAUUUGGGCAAUACCACUUGUUUAUCAAAGGGGUGUUCACUGAGAAUUUACAGACUGAAUAGCGAACAGUGCUGACCAUGAUAAGACUGCACGAAUGUACAGGCUGAUCUUGGUCUGCACUGGUUGCAAAGACAGAAUCACAUGCUGCCAGCAGACCAAAAGUUAAAAGGUAAAUUGUAAUCCUGUUAAAUCCAAAUAUAUUGCAUAAUAUUUUAUUAUUUGCAGAAUAGUUAUGUAUUGAUUUGAACAACUAAAUAGUAUUUUUGAAUCAUGAAUAUUUCUGUUACAAAAGGGCUCUAGAGUAUAUUUACAUGUCAUGGUAGAAUCCAUAAUUUUUAUACCAGGUUUAUAUAUAGGCUAAGCGCUCUUUUCAUGAUAAACACGUUCAAAGGCGCUAUAUAGCAAAGUAGCCACACAGAGCGCGGAAUUCAUCCUCAUCUAGUACAGACACAGAGCUGUCUGACCAGAGAGACAGAGUGAGAUGAAGCCCCCAUUACAGACAGAAAUCCUUUUUAGAUACAGGCCUGUCCAGCUAACUUACCCUAGCACUUUGUGAAUAGACAGUCUGGUUCUUUAAUGUGCCCUAUGUAUAGCACCGAUACCCUCUAAGCCGUCUUUCCUGGGAAGAUCCAGUACAGGCCUCUUAGUUAAUAAGUUUAAUAGUUUAUAAUAACAGCAAUACAUAACAUAAUUGUUCCGCAUACAUUAAAUAUUCCUUUCUUCUAGGCUGAUAAAUUCUUUAACUUGAAUUUGUGAGAAUAUCAGAAAAUUGAUAAGAGCAGUUCUGAUUACGAAAACCAUUUAAUUUCCUUGGAUUGAAAUUCUGUGGCUUAGAUAUAAACAGCCCCUUACAAGGACAUGAUUUUGCAAAUUUCAAAUUUUAGAUGGAGAUAGUUUAAUUUCUAUGUUUGGAUCUAAUUUUCAAGUUUGACACAACACGAGAAUCCACAAAAAUUAGUCCCCUUAUAAAUUAAUGAUUUCACAGAAAGUCGGAACAUUUCAGUUUUGAUUUGAAGGAGCUCUUAUUUUUUCCUGGUAUUUUUUGGGUAAGACUUGCUACUUAAUGGUGCUCUGAAGUUGAUUUUUGUUUUUUUAGGAAAAGCUUGUACAAAAUCUUACGUUUUUAGCUUGACUAUACGAAGUAUAUGGGGAUCUUCCUCCACCAUCAAAAGCUGGAAAGUUGCCAUAUGACCUAUAAUUGUGUCGGUGCGACGUUAAAUCCAACAAAACAAACAAUGUAUAUGGAGAGCUAUCCUACUCGCCCCGGCGUUGGUGUCUUUCCGCAUCCCCACCUUUGUUAAAGUUUUUAUGAACUUUCACUUUUUUCUCCUAAUCUCUGUAAUUGUUUGAUGGUUUUGCUUCAAACUUAAAAUAUUUUUCCUCAUCAUCACCGGCAUCAUCUGGCAUAAGGGCCAUAAAUCUCACACCAAUAUUUUUGUGAAUUAUCCCCCCUUUUACUUAGAACUUCAGGUUAAAGUUUUGAUGCACUUUCACUCUAUCUCAUUUAUAAUAAAAUGGAUUUGAUUCAAACUUAAAAUAAUUGUAGUACAUCAUCACCCACAUCUUGACAUAAGGACCAUAACUCUUGCACAAAUUUUUCAUUAAUUAUGCCCCCUUUUUACUUAGAAUUUCAGGUUAAGGUUUUGGUGCACUUUCACUUUAUCUCAGUUAUUUACCAAAUGGAUUUGAUUCAAACUUAAAACAGUUGUUCAACAUCAUCACUCACAUCAUAUAACACAAGUGUCAUAACUCUGGCACAAAUUUUUGAUGAAUUAUGCCCCCCUUUUUACAUAAAAUUUCAUGUUAAAGUUUUGCUGCACUUUCACUCUUUAUCUGUUAUUACCGAAACUUAUUUGAUUCAAACCUGAAAUAAUUGUAGCACAUUAUCACCCACAUCAUGACACAAGGGCCAUAACUCUGGCACCAGUAUUUCAUGAAUUAUGCCUUCUUUUUACUUAGAAUUUCAGGUUAAUGUUGGUGCACCUUGACUUUAUGUUUAUUAUUACCUAAUAAAUUUGAUUCAAACUUCCACGUUGUUGUCCUCAUCAAAUGACACAAUGUCCAUAAUUCAAGCACAAAUAUAUAGUGACUUAUGUCUCUUUUUUUACUUAGAAUUUCAGUUUAAUUUUGAUGCUUUUUCACUAUAUUUCUGUUGUUACUAAUUGGAUUUUAUUCAAACUUUAAACAGUGGUUCCACAUGGUCACCAACAUCAUAUGAGUACCCCCUUUUUACUAGAAUUUCAGGUUCAGGUUCUGAUGCACUUCAGCUCUAUCUCACUUAUUUGAUUAAAACUUGAAGUAGUUGCUCCACAUUACUAGCCACAUGAUAUUACACAAUGUCCUGGUCAGUUACUUUUGCAGAAAUUUCCAAGAAUUAUGUCCCUUUUAUACUUACUUAAUGUUUUGAUACACUUCUCUAUCCCUGUUAGACACUUUGUGCUACAUUUGACACAGACUUAAGCUUUUGUCCAAUAUCUUCAUCCAAGUUGGACAAAUUAAACACUUCAGCGACAGCUCCAGCAUCCUGACAUGUGCCCUGUUUCACUGUCCAGCAUCGAAAUAGCCAAGCGCGCUGUCUCCUAGACAGCUCAUGUUUAAGAUAGGACUUGCUUGUUAAUGGUGCUAUUUAUGUUUUUUUCUGUAGGAGAAGCUUGUACAAAAGUCUAUCAACAUUAGUUUGCUGUUUUUGCCAUUCUAAUAGAUAAAUCAUUUGAAAAAGAAGAUACAAAAAUUAAAUAAAAAUAUUCUUUUAAUUCCAUUUGUACAAUAAUUUUGUUAACUCUUAAUACUGAUGAAUUUAUUCUUAAGUCAAAACCUUAUAUUAUUGAAAUAGGGCUGUUUAAAUAGAAGUCAAGUAGAGUUUUGAAUUUUUACAAUGCAGGCUUAUUUACUGCGUGUUUAAGGUUGUGACAGUAAUUUAGGGCAUUACACAAAACUAUUUUUGUAAGAAAAUUAAUCAAAAACUUCAUGUUAAUGCUUAUGUAAGUAAACUAUUUUUCCCUAUAAUUUUGUGAUUUUGUUAGUUGUUUAGAUUUACUUAUAUUAAGGUUUAUGUUGAUUAAACACAUUAAAUACAUCGUAUUUGUUUCUAUGGUAACAGAAGGCAAGCCCAAAACAAUGGGUUGCUUAAAUAAAAAGUAACAAUGCUUUUUGUAUGUGAACUGGAAAUAUUUGACAGAAAGUUUGAAGGGUCUCUAGCAAAUAUGUAUGAAAUCUUUUAAAAAAAGAAAAGAAAAAUGUGUUCUGUUACCUAAUUUUGUGUUUAUCUUCAGGAACAGUAAUGAUACGUUCUAAAUAUGCUUGUCUCUGUUAAAACAUGCUUGUGCUAGAAUGACGUAAUUUUUACGUGCAGUGACGUUAGAGUUUUUGUUGCAACCAAGAAAGAGCGCUACCAUAUUGUAUUUGCUGAUUUAUAUUAAGAGCAUAUAAGAAUCGAAAUAAUUCAUAGCAAAAAGUGUUUUAACACUAUUUAUACACGCGGGCGGUAAUACAUCGUACAAAUAAUUUCACUUGGGCUGUGCCCUCGUGAAAUUAUUACACCCAACGUAUAACCACCCAUCGUGCAUAAAUAGUGUUGAAAAUACUUUUCUGCUAUAAAUUGGUUAAACAAAAAGUCAAACACAUGCCCAUCAUGUUUAUUAGCUGAAUUUCAUACCAAUACAAGAUGCCUUGAAAAGAUUUGUGUGCAGAAAUACCUUAAUUAAUAUAUAAAAUUUCUAAAAUAGUAAUUUUGAUUUUCUGCACAUAAAAAGUUCAUUUAUUAGUUUCUCAAUUAUAUGGAUGUUGAUUAUAAAUUUGUUGUGACAAUAUAAUAUGAACUAAAAUUGUGUGUGAAUGAGAAAGAACCUUACUUGCUUUGAAUCUCUAAUCAGUUCUGGAGUUUUCUUAACUUGUAUCUCAUCUUUAUCUAGACUAGUGUUUUUGAUAAUGAACAUUAACCUUUACCCUAUUAAAUUUCUAAAAUGGACUGGUCUGUCAUUCUAUUUGGGCAGUGCCAUUUAUUAUUGCAUAUGUUACAAACUAAAGUAACAGAUUUGUACUGAAUUAAACGUAUAUGAACAUUAUGAGGCCGAUUUCAGAGGUUAUGUGAGCUGGUGUGCCUGAUAUCAAUAUUUGGGGCACCUCCAUGUGAUAUCAAGAAGAUUUAUGGGUGGGCAAAACAUCCAAAAUUUAUACUUUCACUGACAGGGUGACAAAUAUUUAUCUACACAGUAACAUUUCUUUCACAAAAGAAAACAUGGUAUAUUAACUUAACAACACUAGAUUCCUCUUCUAGUGUGAUUGAAAAAGGAAAGCACAAAAACUAUGUCCCUAUAAUGAAUAAAUUUAUAACAUGUUUUGAAGGAAAUAAAGUCAGCGUAUUGAAACAACAUUAACGUUCCUGCGCAUUACAUGUACACAUAAAAUGCUGUACAACAUAUUUUAAUUCUGUUUUUCAAAACUAGAGUGGAAGGAGUGGAACAUGUGCAAUGAAAAGGUCAUAAAACGGGGCUGGUGUGCGUCAAGGCAGUACUUGCAUACUAGACCGGUAUUGGCCCUCGGGCUCAAUACCUCUCCUAGUCGUAUAAAGGCACAUAUUUUCACUGGGUCAAAAUUUCAGGUAUUUGAAAAUUUGAAUAUGUUUGCGAAGUUUAAUAUUCACCAAAUCGUAAAAAUGGUAUCCUACUUGAAUAAGAAUUAUACUAAUGGUGAAUAUUUACACGAGGAGUAAUUUUCAUAAGAUGUAGAGCCUCGUGAAUAUAGCGAAAAUUAAACUCUCGUGAAAAUUUCUGCUUUUACAGUAAGCCAAUAUUGCCUUAAGGCACACCAGUUCAGUAUAAUAACCUCUAAUUAUUUGAAGGGAUAUUAUUGCACAGAAGUGCAGGCAGAUCUUCGUCUGUACAGUAGUAGUACGGUCUCAAAGGGAGAAUCAAUUGACAAUUCGACAGAUUUUGCCUAUGCAACAUGUGUAGACGAAGAUCUGCCUGCACUGGUUGUAAAGGAAGAAUCAGUUGACAGCAGCAGGGUAAGGUUCAAGUUGUAGUAUGUUGCUUUUACUGUAGCGAAAAAAAAGGAAUAUUAAAUGAACCAUCUAAGUUGUGAAGUAAGUUUUAUGGCAUAUUUACUUGGUAUGGAAUGUAUUGAUUUGAAAUGUAGUAUUAAAGUGGCAUUGACAAUAUUGAAUUCAAUGCAGUUAUUAAAGAAAUGGUAUACAUUCAAACCUGUCUAUCAAUAGCACCCUUGGGAGAGCCAAAAUUUGGUCUUCAUUGGGAGGUGGUUUAUAUCUACAGGUUAAAAUACACUGUAAAUGUUAAAUUGGGAAAACGUGUAGUCUUUAGAGCCAGAUGGUCCCUAUUCUAUUCCUUUCACACAGGUUUGGUGAGCUUUUGUGAUCGCUCUGUGUCCGUCAGCGGCGGCGUCUGCGUCAUCGUCGUCAACAAUUUGACUGUUAACACUCUAGAGGUCACAAUUUUGGCUCAAUCUUAAUGAAACUUGGUCAGAAUUUUACCCUCAAUAAAAUCUUGGAGGAGUUCGAUAUUGGGCCAUCUGGGGUCAAAAACUAGGUCACCAGGUCAAAUCAAAGGAAAAGCUUGUUAACACUCUUGAGGUCACGAUUUUGGCCAAGUCUCAAUGAAACUGGGUCAGAAUGUUACUAUCAAUAAAAUUUUGGACGAGUUCGAUAUUGGGUUAUCUGGGGUCAAAAACUAGGUCACCAGGUCAAAUCAAAGGAAAAGCUUGUUAACACUCUUGAGGUCACGAUUUUGGCCCAAUCUCAAUGAAACUGGGUCAGAAUGUAACUAUCAAUAAAAUUUUGGACGAGUUCAAUAUUGGGUCAUCUGGGGUCAAAAAACUAGGUCACCAGGUCAAAUCAAAAGGAAGGCUCGUAAACACUCUAGGGGUUGCAAUUUGGGUCCAAUCUUAAUAAAACUUGGUCAGAAUGUUACUGUCAAUAAAGUCUUGGACGAGUUUUAUAUUGGGUCAUCCGGGGUCAAAAACUAGGUGACCAGGUCAGAUCAAAGGAAAUACUUGUUAACACUGUAGAGGCCACAUUUAUGACUUUGUCUUCAUGAAACUUGGUCAGAAUGUUAAUCUUCAUGAUCUGUAGGUCAAAUUCAAAUCUGGGUCAGAUGGGGUCAAAAACUAGGACACUAGGUCAAAUCAAAGGAAAAACUUGUUAACAUUCUGGAGGCCACCCACAUUUAUGGCUGUAUCUUCAUGAAACUUAGUCAGAAUGUUAAUCUUGAUGAUCUUUAGGUCAAGUUCAAAUCUGGGUCAGAUGGGGUCAAAACUAGGUCACAGGGUCAAGUCAAAGAAAAGCUAUUUAACACUGUAGAGGCCACAUUUAUGACCGUAUCUUAAUGAAACUUGGUCAGAAUGUUAAGCUUGAUUAUCUUUAGGUCAAGUUCAAAUCUGGGCCAGGUUGGGUCAAAAACUAGGUCACUAGGUCAUUCAAAGGAAAAGCUUGUUAACAUUCUAUAGGCCACAUUUAUGGCUAUAUCUUCAUGAAACUUAGUCAGAAUGUUAAUCUUAGUGAUCUUUAGGUCAAGUUCGAAUCUUGGUCAUGUGAGGUCAAAAACUAGGUCACAGGGUCAGAUCAAAAGGAUAGCUAUUUAACACUUUAGAGGCCACAUUUAUGACCAUAUCUUAAUGAAACUUGGUCAGAAUGUUAAUAAUGAUGAUCUUUAGGUCAAUAAGUCAGGUGACCGAUACAGGGUCUUCAUAGCCGUCUUGUGUUAAACAUGUUGAAGAGGUAAUAUGCCCUGCCCCAUUAAAUUAUUUCCUGUAUUGUAGUGUUUAAAUUGAUUAAAACAUACUGGAGCCAUAUACAUGUAUAACUCUGAUUGUAAUAUGUCUUAUUUGCAAAAUAUUAAAUCAAAAUAGUUAAGCCAUCUCCAGUCUGCUGAAAGCAUUUCAACAUGCAGUGAGUAUGUAUUAUUUAAAGUAAACAUGAUUUUAGAAUGUGUAUUACAAUGUUUGUUAUAAUUUUAGUCAAAAUAUAUUUGUUAGUCAUAUUUGAUAGGGGUUCUUUUGGGUUAUUAUGGUCGGUCAAUCUUCCAGUCUAUCUGUUGGUUAACACUUCAGUUUCUGAUAAUUAACUGCAUAAUGCUUUGCUCAAACUUUAUAGAUUGAAUGCAUAUCUGACUGACCUUGAGAUUGAACUUAUUUCUGAUCAAAUAACUGGAACAUGCUUGAGCCUAUAGUGGUCAAAUUUCAUAUUAAUUGUACUUAAAAAUUAUUGUAAAGGGUUCUUAGAUGAUUCCUAUUGUAUUUCUGUUGUUAGAUGGUCAAAGAUUAAGGUCAGUGUUGAUUUUAGGGGUCAGAUGGUCAAGGUCACUGACAUUGAGACUUAAUAAAGUUUCUUAUCAAUAGCAGGAAAAUAGUAGGGCUUACAGCUAACAAAACUUCAUAACUUUAUUGUCUAUUAUAAGUAAAUGACCUUUGCUGUUUUGGGGCUCACAGUUUAUUCAGUUAAGUCUGGGUAUAAAAUUAAUACUUGCAUCAAUAUGACUGGCUUUGGUAAAAUAUAUUUUGGUAGCAUUUAACGUACUGCCAAAUUUGUAAGAAGGUUGUGAAAAUAUCUUUUUACAACUGGGUUGCUGUGUUAGUUAUUUUCUGCUUAUUGUUGGUAGGUAAGAAUUAUAUUUAUACAAGAUAUUUAUACUUGAGAAGUAAACAGGGUUCAACACUUGCUUGUAGUGUCAACAAUUGGCGAUUUGAACUUGUGUUUAUUGUAUUAUACAUGAAUUAAAGUCAGACAUAAUUGUU
This is a long non-coding RNA of Mercenaria mercenaria, 9327 nucleotides long. RefSeq lists it as uncharacterized. Lineage: Eukaryota; Metazoa; Mollusca; Bivalvia; Venerida; Veneridae. The record is from RefSeq and is a predicted model, not a curated record. The transcript has 2 exons.